GAUUAGUUGUCCUCGCACAAAUUGCU
Molecule: non-coding RNA, 26 nt
Filed under: Homo sapiens (human)
Lineage: Eukaryota; Metazoa; Chordata; Mammalia; Primates; Hominidae
Source: RNAcentral